CUGUCUCAUCAACAUUCUCGCGAGAUUUGGCACGGCGCCCCAUGAAUCUGUCCAAUCAUUUUUGCUCUUCCUGGAAAACACGCAUGCGCAUUUAGUGGGCGAAUGUGACUUGUAUCGAUUGGAGGAAACAAUUCAGCAUCGAAGGAAUAACGACUGAAACAACCUUUGUCAGUAUUUACAUAGUAUUGGAGUGUCAAAAUGACAAAACGAAAACCUGCAAAACGAUGGAGAAGAACCGGUAAAGAAGUCGACUCAAAUAAACGAUCAAGAAGGACUGUACAAUUGCCACCAAUGUGAAUGUGGAGACUGAUGAGCAAUGUCUAAAAGGUAGCAGCAGGGGAACAGAAGGAGCCCAAAACACUGCUCUUCAUAUGGAACACAUCCAACUUCCAGGUGUCCAUGCAGGAUGUACCACUCUGGAACAUCAAACCUCUCCCUACCCGCCAAGUACACCCACCGUCUUCUGUGUCUAACUAAUGUUUUGCUGUGAAUUUUGUCACAAAGCAUAUCCUGCUAAAAUAUGCCAAACUUUUGAGUGUAAGAAUGUGAGCGAUAUGCUGAGAUGUUAUACGUUUUGCCUUGUGACAAAAUGUUAUAAAAAACCUUUAAUGAUUUUUAUUCUAUUUUAAUUUCAGCACAUGAAAAUAUUUCUACUUUUGACUCUAUCAAAGACAAUGGAAAACCAUUUUCCAGAUCAGCCCUCAUAGAUCCUCCUGAUGGCCUAACAACUGAACUACAUGUCGAUGCUGAGUAUGAUCCAUCUCAAUCAUUUGAGGAAUAUCUCCCUGAUAUGGGGGAUUGGAUGUACAAUGACGGACAUAUGUUUAAUGAAGGAUUUGAAGAUAGUUUGAGUGAGGAGUGUGCAGAAGAGUCAAAUAUCAAGGACACAACAGACAAACCAUUAUAUGACAAUGCAUCAGUAACCGUGGCAGAGUGCCUUCUGAUCAUCAGGGCUUAUGAAAACUGUCAUAAAGUCACUGAUAAGGCCCUAUAAUCGAUUUGCUGAAAAUGUUCAAGCUGCUUUGUCCCGAUAGUCUGAAUGCAGACUGCUUAAACAGUGUGCAGAAGUUCAAAAACUUUCUUUUAUCCUGCUCUGCAUCAUCGCCUAUUUUAUUACAUAAAUACUGCAGUAAUUGUUCUGGGCAAUUAGAAAGUAAACAAAUAAAAUGUCUGUCUUGUGGGACCAGUGUGUCAGAAGAAAGAUCUUCAUCCUUUAUAGAGGUUCCAAUUAAGGCUCACAUAAGGUCAUUGUUCCUCAAGCCAGGUUUUCAGGAGAAGCUUAACUUCAGAUUAAGCAGAAAGAAGGCAGAUGCUAACAACAUUGAAGAUAUAUAUGAUGCAGAAGUUUACAAACAGCUUGUCGAUAGGGGUGGUCCUCUUAGUGACCCUAAAAACAUCUCACUUGGAACACCGAUGAAGACAAAAAUUGAUAUUUGUUAAGGCUCAUACAUGGUACUCAAAAUAUACCUAUGCAGAUGGUAAAUGUAGUCAAACUUGUGCAGUCUAUUCCUGUUAUUUCACAAACUAUUAAACCAGGGAAUGUCAUAGCUGAAUUUUACAGACAUAUGACUAAAGAUGAUAGUUUCUGUCAGGAAAACAAAUAUUUGUCUAGGAUUAAACUAUAUGGAGCACCUAGUGAACUUCUAUUGGACACAGUUCACCUCUCUGCAUUGCAAAUACAUGCUGGUCACUGCAUCAAUUCUGGAACAGUAAGCAUCUUUCACAGGGCACAAGUUAAGAGAAAUUAUCUCACAUCAAAACACUAUGGUAAAGGUAAUAGUAGAAACAAUUUUACAGUUUUUUUUUCAAAUGACGGACAAACAAAGUAUGGACAGAUUGAUUUCUUCUUUAUCAUAGCACAAUCAUGUGCCAAAUGGGCCCUCCUUCGUGAAUUCAAACAUGCAGGGUUUUCUUUGCUGCAAGAUAGUGUAACAAAUGGUACAUGAAGUCAUGUUAUUUCCCUAUUGGAAACCUCUGCCAGUAAGUACAGUAGUAUGAUUGGAUGACAUAUUGGGUAAAGUUGUUUUCCUUUGCUUCACAUCUGUGCCUGGCAUUGUGUUUUCAGUUUAUUUCCCAAACACACUUGAAAAGUUUUAACUAAUUAAGAACUCAACUGGCCUAAGAAGUCACAAAUCAAAUAUUUGAUCAUUGUUAUAAAUGCUCUGAAAAUACACACCGAUGAGAUGUUGCCGUGGAUGCUGUAAAAGUCUGUAAAAAUGUACUGUAUAUGGAGUAUCAUUGUUGAUUAAGUUUUUGCAUUGUCUGUAAUAUUUCAGUGGCCAAUAUAUUAAAAUGUACUUGUUAAAUAAAA
Molecule: long non-coding RNA, 2311 nt
Organism: Nerophis lumbriciformis (worm pipefish)
Lineage: Eukaryota; Metazoa; Chordata; Actinopteri; Syngnathiformes; Syngnathidae
Source: RefSeq, a predicted model, not a curated record